UAGUAGCUGGUUCCCUCCGAAGUUUCCCUCAGGAUAGCUGGCACUCGUUUGAAGCGAGUCUCAUCUGGUAAAGCGAAUGAUUAGAGGCCUCUUGGGGCCGAAACGACCUCAACCUAUUCUCAAACUUUAAAUGGGUGAGAUCUCUGGCUUGCUUGAAACUUGAAGCCAUGAGAUUAACAUGUAAAAAAUGAUCAGAGUGCCAANNG
Molecule: ribosomal RNA, 206 nt
Filed under: Pseudochalcura sp. 2 EAM-2013
Lineage: Eukaryota; Metazoa; Arthropoda; Insecta; Hymenoptera; Eucharitidae
Description: partial 28S ribosomal RNA
Rfam family: Eukaryotic large subunit ribosomal RNA
Source: RNAcentral